AGCAGCCGCGGUAAUUCCAGCUCCAAUAGCGUAUAUUAAAGUUGUUGCAGUUAAAAAGCUCGUAGUUGAAUUUCGGGAUCGAUGUGUCGGUCGUGCUUUUUGGUACGUACUGGCGUCACCGGUUUCUCCUUUCUGACGAGCCGUGAUGUCAUUAAUUUGGUGUUACGGGUAGUUAGGACUGUUACUUUGAAAAAAUUAGAGUGUUUAAAGCAGGCAUUGGCUUGAAUACAUUAGCAUGGAAUAAUGAAAUAGGACGUUCGAUCCUAUUUUGUUGGUUUUUAGGAUCAACGUAAUGAUUAAUAGGGAUAGUUGGGGGCAUUAGUAUUCAAUUGUCAGAGGUGAAAUUCUUGGAUUUAUUGAAGACUAACUACUGCGAAGGCAUUUGCCAAGGAUGUUUUCAUUAAUCAAGAACGAAAGUUAGGGGAUCGAAGACGAUCAGAUACCAUCGUAGUCUUAACCAUAAACUAUGCCGACUAGGGAUCGGAUGAUGUUAAUUUUUUAAUGACUCA
This 509-nucleotide ribosomal RNA is filed under the name uncultured Glomus. RNAcentral's name for it is "SSU rRNA". It matches the Rfam family "Eukaryotic small subunit ribosomal RNA", at positions 569 to 1078 of the family's 1831-position model. The record is from RNAcentral. Lineage: Eukaryota; Fungi; Glomeromycota; Glomeromycetes; Glomerales; Glomeraceae.